Molecule: transfer RNA, 64 nt
Filed under: Modiolus nipponicus
Lineage: Eukaryota; Metazoa; Mollusca; Bivalvia; Mytilida; Modiolidae
Description: tRNA-Tyr
Source: RNAcentral
CGUGGGGUGGCUGAAUGUAGGCGGUUGGUUGUAAACUUUCUUAUGAAAUAUAUUUCUCCUGCGA